RNAcentral lists this non-coding RNA (227 nucleotides) under Platyophrya macrostoma. Lineage: Eukaryota; Ciliophora; Colpodea; Cyrtolophosidida; Platyophryidae. The record is from RNAcentral.
GGGCACAGCCUCACUAAUUCCAGUUUUGGGAAUCGUUGCUUAUCACAGAAGAAGCAUAAUGAUGACUGAAUGGUUCUUGAAAACCUUAAUUGCUCUUGAGGUCGCUGUUGCUAUCAUCACAAUCUUUGGAACCAAUUACUGGAAUAUCGCUCUUCUUGUUAUGCAAGGCUAUUUGAUUUACGCAUCUUGGAGCAUGUUGAAGGUGUACUAUCAACUUGAAAAGGAGC